GACGUAGGGGGCAAGCGUUGUCCGGAUUCAUUGGGCGUAAAGCGCUUUAAGGCGGUUCGGUAAGUCGGGUGUGAAACCUCCAGGCUCAACCUGGAGACGCCACUCGAUACUGCUGUGACUAGAGUUCGGUAGGGGAUCACGGAAUUCCUGGUGUAGCGGUGAAAUGCGCAGAUAUCAGGAGGAACACCGGUGGCGAAGGCGGUGAUCUGGGCCGACACUGACGCUGUAGAGCGAAAGCGUGGGGAGCGAACAGG
This 254-nucleotide ribosomal RNA is filed under the name uncultured bacterium. Its description in RNAcentral is "partial 16S ribosomal RNA". It matches the Rfam family "Bacterial small subunit ribosomal RNA", at positions 524 to 776 of the family's 1533-position model. The record is from RNAcentral.